CGCAAAGCAGACACAACGCUGGCGGUGCGCUUAUGCAUGCAGUCGAGCGAAGCUUUUCCAGCUAGCGUUUACUACAGAAAAUGACUGAGCGGCGAACGGGUGAGUAACGCGUGAGCAAUCUACCUUAGUUACAGGGAUAGCCCGAGGAAACUCGGAUUAAUACCUGAUAUUCUUUAUUUCUCGCAUGAGAAUAAAAGGAAAGGUCAGCCGAACUAAGAUGAGCUCGCGUUCUAUCAGCUAGUUGGUGAGGUAAAAGCUCACCAAGGCUACGACGGAUAGCUGGUCUGAGAGGACGAUCAGCCACACUGGGACUGAGACACGGCCCAGACUCCUACGGGAGGCUGCAGCAGGGAAUAUUGCGCAAUGAGCGAAAGCUUGACGCAGCGACACCGCGUGUGGGAUGACGGAUCUAGGUUUGUAAACCACUUUCAGGAGGGAAGAAAAUGACGGUACCUCCACAAGAAGCCCCGGCCAACUACGUGCCAGCAGCCGCGGUAAUACGUAGGGGGCGAGCGUUGUCCGGAUUUAUUGGGCGUAAAGAGCUCGUAGGCGGUUCAACAAGUCGGUCGUGAAAGUUCAGGGCUCAACCCUGAAAUGUCGAUCGAUACUGUUGUGACUAGGAUACGGUAGAGGUGAGUGGAAUUCCGAGUGUAGCGGUGAAAUGCGUAGAUAUUCGGAGGAACACCAUAGCGAAGGCACUCACUGGGCCGGUAUCGACGCUUAGGAGCGAAGCUAAGGGAGCA
This 743-nucleotide ribosomal RNA is filed under the name uncultured bacterium. RNAcentral describes it as "bacterial SSU rRNA". It matches the Rfam family "Bacterial small subunit ribosomal RNA", at positions 18 to 770 of the family's 1533-position model. The record is from RNAcentral.